RNAcentral lists this ribosomal RNA (404 nucleotides) under uncultured bacterium. Its description in RNAcentral is "bacterial SSU rRNA". It matches the Rfam family "Bacterial small subunit ribosomal RNA", at positions 355 to 776 of the family's 1533-position model. The record is from RNAcentral.
UGGGGAAUAUUGGACAAUGGGCGAAAGCCUGAUCCAGCAAUGCCGCGUGAGUGAUGAAGGCCUUAGGGUUGUAAAGCUCUUUUACCCGGGAUGAUAAUGACAGUACCGGGAGAAUAAGCUCCGGCUAACUCCGUGCCAGCAGCCGCGGUAAUACGGAGGGAGCUAGCGUUGUUCGGAAUUACUGGGCGUAAAGCGCGCGUAGGCGGUUUUUUAAGUCAGAGGUGAAAGCCCGGGGCUCAACCCCGGAAUUGCCUUUGAAACUGGAAAACUUGAAUCUUGGAGAGGUCAGUGGAAUUCCGAGUGUAGAGGUGAAAUUCGUAGAUAUUCGGAAGAACACCAGUGGCGAAGGCGACUGACUGGACAAGUAUUGACGCUGAGGUGCGAAAGCGUGGGGAGCAAACAGG